AAGUUUAGGUUAAACAAACCAGAGGCCUUCAAAGCAUCAAACAAGAGCAAUUCCACCAUCAUAACUUGG
This 69-nucleotide transfer RNA is filed under the name Cyrtodactylus sp. WAMR 109893. RNAcentral describes it as "tRNA-Trp". The record is from RNAcentral. Lineage: Eukaryota; Metazoa; Chordata; Lepidosauria; Squamata; Gekkonidae.